ACAUUAAUUGCCCGAAUUUGAAAGUUUCGGCUACUGUGGCUUGAAGUAAAGUUUUGGAACGUCCUGCAAUUAUGUGGGACAAG
Molecule: small RNA, 83 nt
Filed under: Loa loa (African eye worm)
Lineage: Eukaryota; Metazoa; Nematoda; Chromadorea; Rhabditida; Onchocercidae
Description: sL1 RNA
Source: RNAcentral